UUGGAGGGCAAGUCUGGUGCCAGCAGCCGCGGUAAUUCCAGCUCCAAUAGCGUAUAUUAAAGUUGUUGCAGUUAAAAAGCUCGUAGUUGAAUUUCGGAAUCAGUACGCUGGUCGUGCCUUCGGUAUGUACUGGUGUCACUGAUUCCUCCCUUCUGACGAACCGUCAUGCUAUUAAUUUAGUGUGGCGGGGAAUCAGGACUGUUACUUUGAAAAAAUUAGAGUGUUUAAAGCAGGC
This 235-nucleotide ribosomal RNA is filed under the name uncultured Glomus. RNAcentral's name for it is "partial 18S ribosomal RNA". It matches the Rfam family "Eukaryotic small subunit ribosomal RNA", at positions 548 to 785 of the family's 1831-position model. The record is from RNAcentral. Lineage: Eukaryota; Fungi; Glomeromycota; Glomeromycetes; Glomerales; Glomeraceae.